Molecule: long non-coding RNA, 2670 nt
Organism: Hypanus sabinus (Atlantic stingray)
Lineage: Eukaryota; Metazoa; Chordata; Chondrichthyes; Myliobatiformes; Dasyatidae
Exons: 3
Source: RefSeq, a predicted model, not a curated record
UGGAGAAGGAGUCAGUGAGCAACCUAUCGCUAUGUGCCUCGCUGUGGUUGGCAGAUUCCAUGGUUACAGCAAUUUCAACUGCUCUUUUAAAAAUGCAGAUUCCUGGGAUAGACAGAGAAAAAGAAUCCAGGAUGCACUCAGACUCCAUGAAAAAGUAUAACAUCCUGACCAAUUCACAUGAACACGCAAAAUGGAAGCACAGCACUUUGGAUGACAUUUGAGAAAUAUGUGCUUGUGUUUAGGGAGCACCCAGAAUCCCAGCAUAGACGGUGGAAAUAGUGCUCAACCUCUCAGACAUCUACCAACCCACUUUGUCAGCCACCUCCUGCCUCAUUUGCAACAGUCUGUGGUCCCUGUAUUGGCCUCAUUAUCCCACAUCUGAACCCACAGAACUGGAGUGGAAACAAAUCAUUCAUGACCAUAAAGGACUGUUCAAAAACAGUGCUGGUGAGCUCUGUGCCAGGUUUUGGUUUGUACAGUAUUACUUAAAAUGACUUUUAAUGAAACUCCAGAACAAAGAAAUGAAAUUACACUCUAUUGUGUAUGAAUGAACUUGUAUCAUCUGAUUUCUCCAAAGUUAAAACAAUUGUUAUGUUUUCUAUGACAACACAGAUGGCUCAAAUCAACCUACAAAGACAUGUUAUUUCGCCCCUUUGGCUACUACCUAAUUGAGUAGAUAGGAUAAACUGUGAAUUUAUGCACAGGCAGUAAGACAAUUGCUGAGCAUGUUUGAGUAUGGGCUGCUGCAGCUGAGCAAACACUGGACCUUGUUAGAGUUCAAUUCAGCAUUAUAUAUUAGAUAUUUUCAUAUCAUUGUAUCGUGAAUUAUACAUGGAGUUAAGCAUUCUUCAUAUAAUCUCAUUUAAUUUGGAGAUGCCAAGGGUUUAAAUCGUAUUGUUUUGACUUCCAGGAAAAUUUCAGUUUAAAACUCAUCUGCUUGGUUGUUGAAGGAUGAAUCCCUGGUCCUGCAAGGACAAUUUUAUACCUCAAAAAGGUGCAGUUGGAAAUUUAGAGAAAUUAUAUUAGGACAGUGGCAAAGUCUGGCAAUCCCAUUUUGCAUUAUUUUUCAAAUCAAAAGAACUUAAAAGAGUACCUGACUCUUGACCGUGGAGUGCCAACCCUAUGUGGCCAUUGCUACAUUUGGAUUUAAUUUGAUUUUAUGCAUGCCUACAAUGACAUACAAUGGUGAUUCUUUCUUUUAUUAUGUGCUGUUAAGGACACGGAUAUUAAAAGAUACAUACAUUUAAUGCAAUUUGAUUAAUUCUUACUUUCAUCACAAAUUUCCUUUUCAAAAAUUAAAUUCAUAACAUUGACAGCAAAGUCAAAGUCAAAGUGGAAGCACUUUUUAACCAUGGGAGGCUGCAGAUUCCAGUCUUGGGAAGAUUUUAUUCCCAGUCCUGUAACUUGAAAUGUUUUAUCGUAACACAAUGAUCUGGAGUAAGAUUCACACUAGAUUAAAUAGGCUAGUUUUGGUUUGGAGACUUUCAUCAUGAUAUUGUAAAUUGACUUUGAAACAAAAAACAUAAUUUCAUUCAUGACCACUUUGAAUAUACUUCAGGUUAGUCUUUCAUUUAAACAGUGAAAUGUAUCUUCUGCAAUAUUGCUUUAUGAGGUACCUAAUAUAUUGUUCACAUUCCUCCAAACCAAACAUAAACAAGCUCCUUAAACUGCAUAAUUUGAGUGAUUUAUAUUUUUAAAACAAGAAUAAUUUCAAUAAUGGUGUAGGCAUGAGAUCACCUUAUUCAAGUCAGCUGGUACUUCCUUUAUUCAUUGAAAUGGUAUAAGUAACUACAUUUUUCAGGCACAAAUCUGAAAAUAGCAGAAUUUUAUGCAACAUAACACAUAUGAUAAAAAAUGGUGCAAAUUUUCAAAACAGAAACAGCUGGCAGUAAACAAGUCAUAAACUGAAUGAUAUGCAAUGAUCUCUCCCAAAACAGAAUUUGCAUAGUUUACAGAAAGUAAUAUCACAGCUAGCAUCAUUAAUCCAUUAUAGGCAAAUACAUGCUGCAGCAAAUACAACAGUUCUGUGCGAGCAGUCAGCCAUGCAAAAUAGCAACUUAUGUUUUUUUCAUACAGGAAGAAACAAUAAUGAAUUUUAAUUUAAACAAGGUACGAAUGACAUCUUAUGUUUCUGCAUUUGUUUACAAUUAAGGACAAAUUUGUUGUAGAAUUUCACCAUUGCUUUACAGCUGGUUUUGAAAUUUAUUUUUACUUACUGAGUGUAACGUUUGUAUAUUUAAAUGCCAAUGUUUUAUCGAUGGUUUUCUAUUUUUCUCAAUUACACAAAGUUUAAAGAAACAACCGUUAACAAAAUUAUGUUAGUCACCUUCAUUAAAAAUUGUAGUCUCCUGCCUGAGAUGUAAAACAAACUAAGUGUCUGGAAACUACUAAAAAAACUACUAAAAACUAUUAACUUGGGUUCCGAGUAUAAGCAAUGGACAUAUUUUAGAUGUGUUAAAAUAUAUGGUUUAAGUAAAUCUGGAAUUCUAUAUGAACGCAUGGUUAUAAACAGAAAGAGUAUUUUUUAAAAUGUAAAUGUGUCAGCACUUCACAAUUGCAAAUGAAUCUGCACAUUCACAGAGUGAGUAAUGAAUGACAUUAACCUGCCUACUUGCAUUUUUCUGACAUGACAGUGCCGUUGUGGACGAAGCUUAGUUUCUGCUGCUUCAA